CAUUAUUGAAUAAACUCUGGUGGCAGGCUGUUGCUGGUCCAAAAAUGCAGGGCAUGUGCACGCCUCAAUAAAACACCAGUUUUGAUAUAUAUAUUUUCCUGUGCAUUUGUGUAGACACUUUUGGAAUGAGGAACUUUUAUACGUUUCUUGCUGUGAAACAUCAAGGUGUCUAUGAUUUUUAAUGAACACAAAGUGGAUGUAUGAGAAAGAUGCAGCUAUUAAUGAACAAAGUUUAAAUACAACUUUCAACAAUGGAUCUCUUGGCUCUCGCAUCGAUGAAGAACGCAGCGAAAUGCGAUAAGUAAUGUGAAUUGCAGAAUUCAGUGAAUCAUCGAAUCUUUGAACGCAUCUUGCGCUCCUUGGUAUUCUGAGGAGCAUGCCUGUUUGAGUGUCAUUAAAUUAUCAAAAAAUCCCCUCUGCAUGAAGAGGAGUUUUUGGACAUUGGGAGUUGCCGGUUUAUUAGAGCCAGCUCUCCUGGAAUGAAUUAGCAGGGAAAUAUGGCAUUUUUCUCGGUUGGUGUGAUAAAGUGUCUACACCAUGAAAUAAGUGGCAUAUAUAAUCUCUGCUUCGUAAAGGAAUUUGUGUCGUUAAGACAGAAGUUCAACUUAGUUUUGACCUCAAAUCAGGUAGGAC
This 633-nucleotide ribosomal RNA is filed under the name Amanita curtipes. Its description in RNAcentral is "eukaryotic LSU rRNA". The stretch from base 241 to 394 matches the Rfam family "5.8S ribosomal RNA". The record is from RNAcentral. Lineage: Eukaryota; Fungi; Basidiomycota; Agaricomycetes; Agaricales; Amanitaceae.